GCCUGAUUAGGGGCUGAGGAUGGCCCAGG
Molecule: non-coding RNA, 29 nt
Filed under: Cricetulus griseus (Chinese hamster)
Lineage: Eukaryota; Metazoa; Chordata; Mammalia; Rodentia; Cricetidae
Source: RNAcentral